GUACUGAAGAUGUUGGAUAUAAAUUAUAAUAAUGGUUCUAGUUGUGGAAUACAAGACAUGCUAAAUAGGCAACUGAUAAACAAAAUCCUCCACCAUGAAAAUGAAAUUCAAAACUCUUAAUACGUUUGACCUGCAGUGGAGAUAACGCUCACUUCUCAGACAACCACCAACUACACCCAUCCGGCCUGUCCAUCUUUUUAAUUUCAUUCUUUCACCAAGAAACACCAAAUGAACACCAUGAGAAAAGGAAAAGGGAAAUCACUGUCCUACGGAUAUUAGAUGUACAUGAAAGAAAGCUAAGUUGGUUUCCGCAUAUUACGUCCUGCGCGAAUUACUUCGUCCACAAGUAGCAGCUGAGAUGCUAUGACAGGGCCAGAAUUCACAAUCUGACGCUUAACAGCAUAAUUGUCAAAUAUCCCUUCCAUCUGGGGAUCUAUAGGUUCACCAGUGUGCUGAUUUAGUCCAACAAUGUUUCCCUUGUCAUGUUCUCCCGUCAGCGCUAUAAUCACAUCUUGAGUAUCAAGGCCUGAGUUCUCAGCAAGUGUUUUAGGUAUCACAAGGAGGGCAUUAGCAAAAGCUUCCACACCAAGUUGGGCACGCCCUUUAACAGUUUUCUUCACUUCGUUGAUCAGGUAUUGUCGAGCUGCAACUUCAAAGGCCCCAGCACCCAGUAUAACUGCUUCAUCUUCAAUGGUAUUUUUUACUGCCCUUAGUCCAUCACGAACUGCAUCCUUGAUUUGAGCUAUUGUGUGGUCAUUAGGCCCUUUGAUAAGAAUUGUACAAGAAUGAGGAUUUUUAACAUUUUCUACAAAGGUAUACUUCUCUUCACCAAGAACAUGCUCAUAGACCAGCCCAGCCCAGCCAAGGCACUCAGGAGUCAAAUCAUCAACAGAGUUAACUGCCUCCCCGCCACAAGCCAAAACCAAACGUUCCAUAUUUCUCCUCUUUGCCCUCCGGAGUGCGAUUAUUCCUGCCCGAGCAAGUUGAUCUAGAGAUGGAGGAUCAAUCCCCUUCUGAUUGAUAACAACAAAAUUCUUGUCAUUUCCAGCGCAGACCUGGUUCUUUAGGUCAAUUAUCUUUUGCACCCUCUCAUCAACAGAACGCCGUUCUGCAGCAACCAUCGCCUCUCUCUGCUCUGCAUUUGAGUAGAAAAAACCUGCAUUCACUUCACUCUUCUCAUAUUCAAGAGAGACGUUAGCAGUCAAAAUGUAACAGUUCUCUGCUCGCCUUUUCAUGUCUGGAUGUCUUGAA
This 1251-nucleotide unclassified non-coding RNA is filed under the name Hevea brasiliensis (rubber tree). Lineage: Eukaryota; Viridiplantae; Streptophyta; Magnoliopsida; Malpighiales; Euphorbiaceae. The record is from RNAcentral.